CGAAUAUCUUCAUCCUCCCUUCGGCCUUCCACUGCUCUUACAGUGCCAACUAUAAUUAAGCACUGCUACUUCCACCUUGAUUUCCAUGAGCCCAGUAAGGUUUAGCAGGGGUGCGUCGCAAUGCCCUCACUCCCAAUGGGUUGUCCUUGCUCUGUUGCAGAAAAUUCAAGAAAGCACAUAAGAAAAAUAAAAAAAUAAUCAAAAAGAGAAAACCAGGACUGCUAAAUUUAAACUUGAAAGCUCAAAAGAAAAACAUCAAACGAUUUCUUAAUAAUAUCAUGCAAUGCAACCAAAUAGCUUGAAUUUAAAACAUGAAUAUCGAAAUAUUUGCCCAUUGGUCUUUGGCACACUGCUGCAAAGCCUAGAACAGCCCAGCGUACCAGCAAAAUUUAGCAUAUCUUACCAUCAAGCAGGUCCCAGCACGAACAUUACAGAUGGGAUAGUCAUGUGGGCAGCAGCUAUAGUGGUCAUCACAGCAGGUGGCAGCCUCAAGCGGGCAGCAUCCCCAUGCAAAGCAAGAGUUACCAUACUCAAAGACACAGCAGCAAGUGUUGCUCUCAGGGCAAGAGUAAUAAUUGUCACACACAGCAGGAGGCUUUGUUGGAGAUGGAGGAGACGGUCCGGGGUUGGGAGGAUUUUGGCCUUUCUUUAUGGGAUAUGAGGCCUCCAUGGCAAUUCCACACUUGCCCGUGAGAGUGCCAGCCACGUUACGCUCCAUCCUAAUAUAGCCACCCUCUCCCCAGCUACUGCCCCAUGAAUUCUUCACAAUCCAGUAAUCAGCUCCAUUUUCUGUGCCAUAUCCAACAGCAGUAACACCAUGGUCCAGAGAUGUCCCACAUCUUCCCGUAAAUAUACCCUGAAAAUUUGCAAAGACAGAAAAAUAUACUUGAGACUUCCUUAAAACAGAUCAGACACACACAAGACUCUUCCUGAUCCUGUUUAGAAACCAUUAGAAAUACAAUAAUUUUUGUUCAAAUACCAUCCAGUAUUGUCUCAACCAUAUCUUUUCAGAACUGCAAAAUGCAAAUACUUUGUAUCUAGAUAAUAGCAACAUCCCUAAAUCUAAAAUGUGACAAGUGCCAUGAAGAGAUGAAAGUUACCGAUUCAUAUAACUGGAAUGCCAUGCCACCUCCUUCAAUCGCAACACUCACGGGUUGAUUUGCAACUGCCUUUUGCAAAGCUUUCUCGUCAUUUAGGGGAAC
RNAcentral lists this long non-coding RNA (1202 nucleotides) under Citrus x clementina. Its description in RNAcentral is "Citrus clementina (C. clementina) long non-coding RNA (CCLE_LNC003093)". Lineage: Eukaryota; Viridiplantae; Streptophyta; Magnoliopsida; Sapindales; Rutaceae. The record is from RNAcentral.